Long non-coding RNA from Glycine soja, 453 nucleotides. RefSeq lists it as uncharacterized. The transcript is spliced from 3 exons. The record is from RefSeq and is a predicted model, not a curated record. NCBI's taxonomy places the organism in Eukaryota, Viridiplantae, Streptophyta, Magnoliopsida, Fabales, Fabaceae.
GUUCAUGCUUGAAAUCGUAUGUGACAUCAAGAAUAACAAAUGAAAGCCAAAUGAGGACUCUGCACAUCACACUCGGAUUAAGAAGUGGUUACAAAAGUUAAGAGUUGAUGACAUUUUGAUUAGAGGGUUUAAAUGGAGCAAGUUACUUGAUCCUGACAAGAAGGGCCAAUGGUGGUUGUCUGGGGAUGUGGCUUCUUCAACAGGUAAUGUUGAAGAAGUUGCCAACAGAAUAGACAAGGAUGUUCAUGAAACCCAAAGAAUGCUUCAGCUCGCCGCUGCUCAAAAGAUGAACACAGAUGCCCGAAGGGAAAUCUUUUGUAUAAUAAUGAGUGGGGAGGACUAUCUUGAUGCAUUUGAGAAGCUUCUAAGAUUGGAGUUACCAGGCAAGCAGGACAGAGAUAUCAUGUGGGUUCUUGUGGAGUGUUGCUUGCAAGAGAAAGUUUUUAACAAGUA